CGCGGGCCGAGAGCCACCCAGCGGGGCGGAGCCAGUGGCCGGCCCACCCGCGGCUGAGGGAAGAUGGCGGCCGCGGCGGUGCUGGCCGCCGGGCUGCGCGGGGCGCGCAGGGUCGUGGCGGCCGCGGGGCCGCGGGGGGCGCAGGUCCGAGGGGCUGCAGGCGUGACUGAUGGGAACGAAGUGGCCAAGGCUCAGCAGGCAGCUCCCGGGGGAGCAGCCCCCACCAUCUUCUCUCGGAUCCUGGAUGGAAGCCUCCCAGCUGACAUUCUGUAUGAGGACCAGCAGUGUCUCGUAUUCCGUGACGUGGCCCCUCAGGCUCCUGUGCACUUCCUGGUCAUUCCUAAGAAGCCCAUUCCUCGGAUUAGCCAGGCUGAAGAAGGAGACCAGCAGCUUCUAGGACACCUUCUCCUUGUGGCCAAGGAGACAGCAAAGGCUGAGGGGCUGGGAGAUGGAUACCGACUUGUGAUCAACGAUGGGAAGCUGGGUGCACAGUCUGUCUAUCACCUGCACAUUCACGUGCUUGGGGGCCGACAGCUCCAGUGGCCUCCAGGUUGAAGCUACCAACUGACAAAGGACCACAGACCCGGAUGCAUGGAUGGGAUGGGAAAAAAGCUGUUGUCUGAUGUACUUUUAUCCUCAAAAAUUUUAAGAAGACUACCUCCCCCACCCCUCCACUUUUGAGAGUGAACUAAGGGAAAGUACUGUUGCCCUCCCACAAAUACACCAGGCAGACUUUUGUCUGCUACCACA
This is a non-coding RNA of Equus caballus (horse), 750 nucleotides long. NCBI's taxonomy places the organism in Eukaryota, Metazoa, Chordata, Mammalia, Perissodactyla, Equidae. The record is from RefSeq and is a predicted model, not a curated record.